This is a long non-coding RNA of Xiphophorus maculatus (southern platyfish), 423 nucleotides long. RefSeq lists it as uncharacterized. The transcript is spliced from 3 exons. The record is from RefSeq and is a predicted model, not a curated record. Lineage: Eukaryota; Metazoa; Chordata; Actinopteri; Cyprinodontiformes; Poeciliidae.
ACUGGAGCCGGUGGUCUAAACAGAGAUUGAUGACAGUUUGGAAGGCAGGAGAAAUCAGGCUUAAGAAAACAGCCGGAUCAGAUUCCAAUCGGAGGCUCAGUCUGGGGCUGGCCUUGCUGAAAGGGCCGAGCUCAUUCCAUUUCCAGCGAUGGGAGUGAUUGGGGAGAAGUGAGCCUAAAGAUUGCUGAAGUAAUUAACAUUCGCGGCUGGUUGGCAGAUCCAAUCGUCUUGUCUCGGAUGCAGGAGGAGCCGUUGAUUGGAGGUCAUUGUCUCAAGGUGACUCGGAGCAUCUGGAGCUGUUCGCCACAAUAUACGAAGCAAUUUAGUUGCAGACAGGAGCUGUGAAGAGACCGGACUCCUGCCCUCUGGUGACUCCAAACAUUGUGGCUGACGACCCUGUCAAGGUUACAGCUCAUAGUUCAU